This 1464-nucleotide ribosomal RNA is filed under the name Enterococcus faecium. RNAcentral's name for it is "partial 23S ribosomal RNA". It matches the Rfam family "Bacterial large subunit ribosomal RNA", at positions 12 to 1478 of the family's 2925-position model. The record is from RNAcentral. Lineage: Bacteria; Bacillati; Bacillota; Bacilli; Lactobacillales; Enterococcaceae.
AUAAGGGCGCACGGUGGAUGCCUUGGCACUAGGAGCCGAUGAAGGACGGGACUAACACCGAUAUGCUUUGGGGAGCUGUACGUAAGCUAUGAUCCAGAGAUUUCCGAAUGGGGGAACCCAGCAUCUUUAAUAGGAUGUUACGAUUGUGUGAAUACAUAGCACAUUCGAGGUAGACGCAGAGAACUGAAACAUCUAAGUACCUGCAGGAAGAGAAAGAAAAUUCGAUUCCCUGAGUAGCGGCGAGCGAAACGGGAAAAGCCCAAACCAACAAGCUUGCUUGUUGGGGUUGUAGGACUCCAAUAUGGUCGUUCUUUCAGAUAGUCGAAUGACUUGGAAAAGUCAGUCAAAGAGGGUAAAAACCCCGUAGACGAAAUGUGGAAGACACCUAGGAGGAUCCUGAGUACGGCGGAACACGAGAAAUUCCGUCGGAAUCCGGGAGGACCAUCUCCCAAGGCUAAAUACUCCCUAGUGACCGAUAGUGAACCAGUACCGUGAGGGAAAGGUGAAAAGCACCCCGGAAGGGGAGUGAAAUAGAACCUGAAACCGUGUGCCUACAACAAGUCAAAGCCCGUUAAUGGGUGAUGGCGUGCCUUUUGUAGAAUGAACCGGCGAGUUACGAUUGCAUGCGAGGUUAAGUUGAAGAGACGGAGCCGCAGCGAAAGCGAGUCUGAAUAGGGCGUUUGAGUAUGUAGUCGUAGACCCGAAACCAUGUGAUCUACCCAUGUCCAGGUUGAAGGUGCGGUAAAACGCACUGGAGGACCGAACCCACGUACGUUGAAAAGUGCGGGGAUGAGGUGUGGGUAGCGGAGAAAUUCCAAACGAACUUGGAGAUAGCUGGUUCUCUCCGAAAUAGCUUUAGGGCUAGCCUCGGAAUUGAGAAUGAUGGAGGUAGAGCACUGUUUGGACUAGGGGCCCAUCUCGGGUUACCGAAUUCAGAUAAACUCCGAAUGCCAUUCAUUCAUAUCCGGGAGUCAGACUGUGAGUGAUAAGAUCCAUAGUCGAAAGGGAAACAGCCCAGACCACCAGCUAAGGUCCCAAAAUAUAUGUUAAGUGGAAAAGGAUGUGGGGUUGCACAGACAACUAGGAUGUUGGCUUAGAAGCAGCCACCAUUUAAAGAGUGCGUAAUAGCUCACUAGUCGAGUGACCCUGCGCCGAAAAUGUACCGGGGCUAAACAUAUUACCGAAGCUGUGGAGUACACCUUUAGGUGUAUUGGUAGGAGAGCGUUCUAAGGGCGUCGAAGGCAGAUCGUGAGGACUGCUGGAGCGCUUAGAAGUGAGAAUGCCGGUAUGAGUAGCGAAAGACAGGUGAGAAUCCUGUCCACCGAAUGACUAAGGUUUCCUGGGGAAGGCUCGUCCGCCCAGGGUUAGUCGGGACCUAAGCCGAGGCCGAUAGGCGUAGGCGAUGGAUAACAGGUUGAUAUUCCUGUACCCGUUGUUUUUGUUUGAGCAAUGGAGGGACGCAGG